UAGGUAGUUUAACCUUCGGGGGGACGCUUACCACUUUGUGGUUCAUGACUGGGGUGAAGUCGUAACAAGGUAGCGCUAGGGGAACCUGGCGCUGGAUCACCUCCUUAAACGAUGAU
This 116-nucleotide ribosomal RNA is filed under the name Vibrio parahaemolyticus. Its description in RNAcentral is "partial 16S ribosomal RNA". It matches the Rfam family "Bacterial small subunit ribosomal RNA", at positions 1427 to 1533 of the family's 1533-position model. Lineage: Bacteria; Pseudomonadati; Pseudomonadota; Gammaproteobacteria; Vibrionales; Vibrionaceae. The record is from RNAcentral.